UGGCUAGUGGGUCUGGGUAGGAGUGAUGUAGUUGAUGGAGAUAGGGGUGAUGGCUAGUGGGUCUGGGUAGGAGUGAUGUAGUUGAUGGAGAUAGGGGUGAUGGCUAGUGGGUCUGGGUAGGAGUGAUGUAGUUGAUGGAGAUAGGGGUGAUGGCUAGUGGGUCUGGGUAGGAGUGAUGUAGUUGAUGGAGAUAGAGGUGAUGGCUAGUGGGUCUGGGUAGGAGUGAUGUAGUUGAUGGAGAUACGGGUGAUGGCUAGUGGGUCUGGGUAGGAGUGAUGUAGUUGAUGGAGAUAGGGGUGAUGGCUAGUGGGUCUGGGUAGGAGUGAUGUAGUUGAUGGAGAUAGGGGUGAUGGCUAGUGGGUCUGGGUAGGAGUGAUGUAGUUGAUGGAGAUAGGGGUGAUGGCUAGUGGGUCUGGGUAGGAGUGAUGUAGUUGAUGGAGAUAGAGGUGAUGGCUAGUGGGUCUGGGUAGGAGUGAUGUAGUUGAUGGAGAUAGGGGUGAUGGCUAGUGGGUCUGGGUAGGAGUGAUGUAGUUGAUGGAGAUAGAGGUGAUGGCUCGUGGGUCUGGGUAGGAGUGAUGUAGUUGAUGGAGAUAGGGGUGAUGGCUAGUGGGUCUGGGUAGGAGUGAUGUAGUUGAUGGAGAUAGGGGUGAUGGCUAGUGGGUCUGGGUAGGAGUGAUGUAGUUGAUGGAGAUAGGGGUGAUGGCUAGUGGGUCUGGGUAGGAGUGAUGUAGUUGAUGGAGAUAGGGGUGAUGGCUAGUGGGUCUGGGUAGGAGUGAUGUAGUUGAUGGAGAUAGGGGUGAUGGCUAGUGGGUCUGGGUAGGAGUGAUGUAGUUGAUGGAGAUAGAGGUGAUGGCUCGUGGGUCUGGGUAGGAGUGAUGUAGUUGAUGGAGAUAGGGGUGAUGGCUAGUGGGUCUGGGUAGGAGUGAUGUAGUUGAUGGAGACAGGGGUGAGGGCUAGUGGGUCUGGGUAGGAGUGAUGUAGUUGAUGGAGAUAGGGGUGAUGGCUAGUGGGUCUGGGUAGGAGUGAUGUAGUUGAUGGAGAUAGGGGUGAGGGCUAGUGGGUCUGGGUAGGAGUGAUGUAGUUGAUGUUUGUAUGAUGUCUGUUUUGUACUAAUAAAAUAUAAAAUAAAAUCGUAUAAAAAAAUUAAUAAAGGUCAUGUUUUAACAUAUUAAUAAGCAGAAUGGGAUUCAAUUUGAAGGGCAGGGACAGCGAGGAGUAUUAAGAUCAGCUUAAGCAAUACACCAUGCAGCGUACGUAAACAACACUAUGAAGUUAAAUGCAGUUAGUGCAGUUGGAAUGUUAGUGAUCUGAGGGGGAUCAGACAGGUUUAGCCUUACAGGCUUCUAUUCUCCAUCCUCCUUAGACUUAAACAAUAACACAGGCUUUGACAUCUAAACCGCCUAGCAACCCAACACUCAUACCCCUCUCUCUCUCAUAUCCUCCCUCUAUCCCUGUACUCAACGGUGCGUAUCUGUUCUCAUGUCACCAUGCACACAAAGAAGACAGCUGCUGAGAGCAGAACAGUUGGACAAGGAGACAAAUUACCAACCAUAGAGCCACAGUUGGUCCUGGAUGUCCGUCUGCAUCCCAAACAGCAACCUACAGGGUGUCUGUCUGCAUCCCAAACAGCACACUACAGGGUGUUUGUCUGCAUCCCAAACGGCACCCUACAGGGUGUCUGUCUGCAUCCCAAACAGCACCCUACAGGGUGUAUGUCUGCAUCCCAAACAGCAACCUACAGGGUGUCUGUCUGCAUCCCAAACAGCACACUACAGGGUGUCCGUCUGCAUCCCAAACGGCACCCUACAGGGUGUCCGUCUGCAUCCCAAACGGCACCCUACAGGGUGUAUGUCUGCAUCCCAAACAGCACCCUACAGGGUGUCCGUCUGCAUCCCAAACGGCACCCUACAGGGUGUAUGUCUGCAUCCCAAACAGCACACUACAGGGUGUCCGUCUGCAUCCCAAACGGCACCCUACAGGGUGUAUGUCUGCAUCCCAAACAGCACCCUACAGGGUGUCUGUCUGCAUCCCAAACAGCACCCUACAGGGUGUCUGUCUGCAUCCCAAACAGCACACUACAGGGUGUCCGUCUGCAUCCCAAACGGCACCCUACAGGGUGUCCACCCACUCUGCCCAGAGUGGGUGAAAACGGAAUUUGGUGAGGAAAUUUCACUUCCUUAUGUUGUAAAGUACAUUUUAACAAGACAAAUAUGAUUAUUCAUGUUUUGAAUAGUUCAGUGGGUUCUUUCUCUAACAUAUCAUUAACAUUACAGUUGAAGUCGGAAGUCGGUUAAGACAACUGCUUUGUGCAUGACACAAGUCAUUUUUCAACAAUUGUUAACAGACAGAUUAUUUCACUUAUAAUGCACUGUAUCACAAUUCCAGUGGGUCAGAAGUUUACAUACACUAAGUUGACUGUGCCUUUAAACAGCUUGUAACACUUCAGAAAAUGAUGUCGUGGCUUUAGAAGCUUCUAAUAGGCUAAUUUACAUUAUUUGAGUCAAUUGGAGGUGUACCUGUGGAUGCAUUUCAAGGCCUACUUUCAAACUCAGUGCCUCCUUGCUUGACAUCAUGGGAAAAUCAUAAGAAAUCAGCCAAGACCUCAGAAAAACAAUUGUAGACCUCCACAAGUCUGGUUUAUCCUUGGGAGCAAUUUCCAAACAUCUGAAGGUACCAUGUUCAUCUGUACAAACAAUAGUACGCAAGUAUAAACACCAUGGGACCACGCAGCCGUCAUACCGCUCUGGAAGGAGACCCAUUCUGUCUCCUAGAAAUGAACGUACUUUGGUGCGAAAAGUGCAAAUAAUUCCCAGAACAACAGCAAAGGACCUUGUGAAGACGCUGGAGGAAACAGGUACAAAAGUAUCUAUACCCACAAGUAAAACGAGUCCUAUAUCGACAUAGAUCGUACUUUUUGGAGAAAUGUCCUCUGGUCUGAUGAAACGAAAAUAGAACUGUUUGGCCAUAUUGACCAUCCUUAUGUUUAGAGGAAAAAGGGGGAGGCUUGCAAGCCGAAGAACACCAUCCCAAACGUGAAGCACGGGGGUGGCAGCA
Oncorhynchus keta (chum salmon) is the source of this 3054-nucleotide long non-coding RNA. RefSeq lists it as uncharacterized. NCBI's taxonomy places the organism in Eukaryota, Metazoa, Chordata, Actinopteri, Salmoniformes, Salmonidae. The record is from RefSeq and is a predicted model, not a curated record. The transcript is spliced from 3 exons.